GCUUGGCUGGUGGCUCUUCAUCGGCUGGGUCCUGGAGGCUCUCCGAGGAGUUGUUUUCUGCCUCUAUAUCAUAGUCUUCAGAAAUUGCAUGUACCUCCGCAGCAAUUGGAACAUCUUCGGCAGUGUGAACCUCAACAGGACUCUCCUCUUGCGUUUGCUGGUUGACUGACUCAGGAUCUCACCAGGAGUACUGGAUGACAUCUGGUUCUGAUCUCCUAGGCGUCUGGGCUAUGACAGUUUUCAGGAGUACUGGUCAGGUUCCAGCUUUGGCUACUGUGUGCUCCAGUGCCCCUCUAAGCAAUGGGUUUUGUUCUGAGCACUUCCACACUUUCUGGCCCUGCAUCGUACACCAGCUCAUCCUGUAGAUUUCCUGCCCCAGUUCUAGAAUCAGCUAUUUCUCCAAGGAGCUAUUGGAAAACAAACCAAAACCGAUAACUAACUUUUAUUGAAGAACAGUAUUAGAAAUAAACAUCUGGACAUUAUGUGUGCAGGUUUGGCAUUUUAAAAAUAUUGCAGGAAAUACCCAUUUAUAAACUA
Echinops telfairi (small Madagascar hedgehog) is the source of this 537-nucleotide long non-coding RNA. RefSeq lists it as uncharacterized. The record is from RefSeq and is a predicted model, not a curated record. The transcript is spliced from 3 exons. NCBI's taxonomy places the organism in Eukaryota, Metazoa, Chordata, Mammalia, Afrosoricida, Tenrecidae.